CCCGCGAUAGCGCAGUUGGUAGAGCGGAGGACUGUAGAUCCUUAGGUCGGUGGUUCGAAUCCGUCUCGCGAGA
Molecule: transfer RNA, 73 nt
Filed under: Octopus sinensis (East Asian common octopus)
Lineage: Eukaryota; Metazoa; Mollusca; Cephalopoda; Octopoda; Octopodidae
Description: tRNA-Tyr
Rfam family: tRNA
About the family: Transfer RNA (tRNA) molecules are approximately 80 nucleotides in length. Their secondary structure includes four short double-helical elements and three loops (D, anti-codon, and T loops).
Source: RNAcentral